GCGCCGCGCACCCGGUCCGUGCCACACGCUGUGCCCGCGCUUCAUGCACAUCCCCCACUUUCAUCCUCGCGACAGCCCUCUGAGAGCAGGAGGAGGAUUUCUCUGACUGAUAACUUUCUGAGAAGGUGCGGUGCUGAGUUGGACCACCCUGUACCCUGGUAAUAGGCUGUCUGCAGUUGCUGUGUUAGUGACUGGGGGUAAAGUAUUUUCACUUCAACCACAUCCUCCAAUCUAGCUCUUGUCAGCAAUGAUGAUGACAUUUUGAUCUCUACCUGGCUAACAUCUGCUUUUCUUCCUUAGUUCUGAACUCAGAAGGGGCAGAAAGAGUGUUUAUUGGUCUCCUAAAACUCCAACAGUGGUUGCUAUUGUUUUUCUUCCUGUUUCAAAGAUGAGGAAACCAGCCGGGGGUGGUGGCAGGUGCCUGUAGCCUCAGCUACUUGGAAGCCUGGGGUGGGAGGAUUGUUUAAGCCCAGGAGUUCAAGUUGUGCCUGGGCAACAUAGCGAUAUCCUGUCUCUUACCUGCCCCCCAACAAAAAAUGUAAAUUAAGGGGGAAAAAAGAGGAAACAGAAGAAUAGAGAAGUUCUGGAAUGUUCCACAGAGCUAGUCAGUGAAGUGGUAGAAAUAGCCAUUUGAAUCCAGGCAGUCUGACUGUAAGCAAGCAGCUUGGCUUCAAACUGCAUUUUAAAACCUUGUUUUUUUUCCUUCUUUCUCCCCAGUCUCAAGAUAUAACUUUGAGACAAGCUGCAUAUGUGUUUCCUGUCAUCUUGACAUACAGCCUUGGAAUGGACUGUGAACCUCCACUCCCUAUCCUUCCCCAUUCCAUGCUCCCAUGCCAUAUGCUCAUUUAUUUACCCAAACACUCGUCAAGCACAUACCAUGUUCACUUAUCUGGUCAUGUAUUUCCUUAGAAGCCUCAGGGGCUGGAUUUUUUUUUUUUUUUUUUUUUUUUUGCGAUGCAUAUUCUGGAAUAUGCAUUCCUGGAAUAUGCACCACCACAUCCAGCUAAUUUUUGUAUUUUUAGUAUAGACAGGGUUUUGCCAUGUUGGCUGGGCUGGUCUCAAACUCCUGACCUUGGGCGAUCUGCCCACUUCGGCCUCUCAAAGUGCUGGGAUUACAGGCCUGAGCCAUUGCGCCCAUCCAGGGGCUGGAUCUUGACAUGGACCGUAUGCCUGCAGAAUUCUCUCCCCGGUCAAGGCUGAAAUUUACUCCUAGCUACACUCACGUUCACACACGUUCACGCACUAGAAAUUAACUGCAAGAUUGGCUGAAGUUCAUUUGUAACCUGGUCAGGCCCAGGAUGGCACUGGCCCCUUCACCAAAGGGAACAAUAAUUCAAGAUAAGCUGUUGGAGUGGAUUGCACCACUGACCCCUCCUAGCCCCCUUCCUCUCCAUUCCAAACCCCUCUCUCUUUAAAAACCCCUGCAUUCCCUCCACAAAUUGAAGGGUGGAAAUUUUUGGAAAGAAUCUCACCCACUCCUUCCCUUAUUAGCAUGGAUAAUAAAAUCUCCUUAUCACA
Gorilla gorilla gorilla (western lowland gorilla) is the source of this 1518-nucleotide long non-coding RNA. RefSeq lists it as uncharacterized. The transcript is spliced from 2 exons. Lineage: Eukaryota; Metazoa; Chordata; Mammalia; Primates; Hominidae. The record is from RefSeq and is a predicted model, not a curated record.